GCCGGGUGCGGGGUUGCACGCCUGUGAUCCUGGCAGCUUGGGAGGCUGAGGCGGGAGGUUGGUGAGUUCAAAGUCACCCUCAGCAACAGUGAGGCGGUAAGCCACUCAGUGAGACCCUGUCUCUA
Molecule: small RNA, 125 nt
Filed under: Marmota monax (woodchuck)
Lineage: Eukaryota; Metazoa; Chordata; Mammalia; Rodentia; Sciuridae
Source: RNAcentral